GCAGCUUGCUGCUUUGCUGACGAGUGGCGGACGGGUGAGUAAUGUCUGGGAAACUGCCUGAUGGAGGGGGAUAACUACUGGAAACGGUAGCUAAUACCGCAUAACGUCGCAAGACCAAAGAGGGGGACCUUCGGGCCUCUUGCCAUCGGAUGUGCCCAGAUGGGAUUAGCUAGUAGGUGGGGUAAAGGCUCACCUAGGCGACGAUCCCUAGCUGGUCUGAGAGGAUGACCAGCCACACUGGAACUGAGACACGGUCCAGACUCCUACGGGAGGCAGCAGUGGGGAAUAUUGCACAAUGGGCGCAAGCCUGAUGCAGCCAUGCCGCGUGUAUGAAGAAGGCCUUCGGGUUGUAAAGUACUUUCAGCGGGGAGGAAGGGAGUAAAGUUAAUACCUUUGCUCAUUGACGUUACCCGCAGAAGAAGCACCGGCUAACUCCGUGCCAGCAGCCGCGGUAAUACGGAGGGUGCAAGCGUUAAUCGGAAUUACUGGGCGUAAAGCGCACGCAGGCGGUUUGUUAAGUCAGAUGUGAAAUCCCCGGGCUCAACCUGGGAACUGCAUCUGAUACUGGCAAGCUUGAGUCUCGUAGAGGGGGGUAGAAUUCCAGGUGUAGCGGUGAAAUGCGUAGAGAUCUGGAGGAAUACCGGUGGCGAAGGCGGCCCCCUGGACGAAGACUGACGCUCAGGUGCGAAAGCGUGGGGAGCAAACAGGAUUAGAUACCCCUGGG
Molecule: ribosomal RNA, 724 nt
Filed under: Escherichia coli
Lineage: Bacteria; Pseudomonadati; Pseudomonadota; Gammaproteobacteria; Enterobacterales; Enterobacteriaceae
Description: bacterial SSU rRNA
Rfam family: Bacterial small subunit ribosomal RNA
Source: RNAcentral